UCUCUGGUGGCUUAGUGGUAAAGAAUCUGCCUGCCAAUGCAGGAGACACAGGUUCAAUCCCUGGUCCGGGAA
This 72-nucleotide transfer RNA is filed under the name Ovis aries (sheep). It matches the Rfam family "tRNA". From Rfam's summary of the family: Transfer RNA (tRNA) molecules are approximately 80 nucleotides in length. Their secondary structure includes four short double-helical elements and three loops (D, anti-codon, and T loops). The record is from Rfam by way of RNAcentral. Lineage: Eukaryota; Metazoa; Chordata; Mammalia; Artiodactyla; Bovidae.